CGCGUCUGAUUAGCUAGUUGGCGGGGUAACGGCCCACCAAGGCGACGAUCAGUAGCCGGACUGAGAGGUUGAACGGCCACAUUGGGACUGAGACACGGCCCAGACUCCUACAGGAGGCAGCAGUGGGGAAUAUUGCGCAAUGGGGGAAACCCUGACGCAGCAACGCCGCGUGAUUGAAGAAGGCCUUCGGGUUGUAAAGAUCUUUAAUUCGGGACGAAAAAAAUGACGGUACCGAAAGAAUAAGCUCCGGCUAACUACGUGCCAGCAGCCGCGGUAAUACGUAGGGAGCAAGCGUUAUCCGGAUUUACUGGGUGUAAAGGGAGCGUAGACGGCAUGGCAAGUCUGGUGUGAAAGGCAGGGGCUCAACCCCUGGACUGCAUUGGAAACUGUCAGGCUGGAGUGCAGGAGAGGUAAGUGGAAUUCCUAGUGUAGCGGUGAAAUGCGUAGAUAUUAGGAGGAACACCAGUGGCGAAGGCGACUUACUGGACUGUAACUGACGUUGAGGCUCGAAAGCGUGGGGAGCAAACAGGAUUAGAUACCCUGGUAGUCUACGCCGUAAACGAUGAAUACUAGGUGUCAGGGAGCAAAGCUCUUUGGUGCCGCAGCUAACGCAAUAAGUAUUCCACCUGGGGAGUACGUUCGCAAGAAUGAA
RNAcentral lists this ribosomal RNA (652 nucleotides) under uncultured bacterium. RNAcentral describes it as "bacterial SSU rRNA". It matches the Rfam family "Bacterial small subunit ribosomal RNA", at positions 232 to 898 of the family's 1533-position model. The record is from RNAcentral.